GGGUGCGAUCAUACCAGCAAUAAUGCACCGGAUCCCAUCAGAACUCCGAAGUUAAGCUUGCUUGGGCGAGAGUAGUACUAGGAUGGGUGACCUCCUGGGAAGUCCUCGUGUUGCACCCCUC
Molecule: ribosomal RNA, 121 nt
Filed under: Rubus longisepalus
Lineage: Eukaryota; Viridiplantae; Streptophyta; Magnoliopsida; Rosales; Rosaceae
Also listed under: 1 other name
Source: RNAcentral